UCCGAGCCAAAAUCCAAAAUAUACCAAAAAUACAUAAAAGGGUACUUUAAAAUUAUGGGUCUUACAUUACUCCCCCCCUAAAAUUAGUUUCGUCCUCGAAACUAUGCAUCGAUAAAUAACUCUGGGUGUUGUUCUCUCAUCUUGCUCUCUAGUUCCCAAGUCGCAUCUCCAGUAAUUGGGUUCCAGAUCACCUUGACCAACGAAACAUCCUUGG
Molecule: long non-coding RNA, 214 nt
Filed under: Cicer arietinum (chickpea)
Lineage: Eukaryota; Viridiplantae; Streptophyta; Magnoliopsida; Fabales; Fabaceae
Description: long non-coding RNA (CARI_LNC003631)
Source: RNAcentral